Cydia fagiglandana is the source of this 1694-nucleotide long non-coding RNA. RefSeq lists it as uncharacterized. The transcript has 2 exons. NCBI's taxonomy places the organism in Eukaryota, Metazoa, Arthropoda, Insecta, Lepidoptera, Tortricidae. The record is from RefSeq and is a predicted model, not a curated record.
AGUUUUUAGAACAUAAUAAGACAAUUUCACCUAAAAAGAAAAACUGUUUUCCAAUAGCACAUAGAAUGUAUUUGAAACACAUCAAUAGAUACAUACAUCCAACAUAUAACCUGUCUUAUUCGCUAUCUAAAUUUACAAGACGGCCAAAAUACGAACGAGACAUUUUUUCGCGUUGGUCAAUAUCCUAUUGUACUUAAAACUAGGUGGACCAUUGUUUUAUUUGAUAUCUGCCCAAAUCAGUCGAAAUAAUACUAUUAAUUUUGGCAUAACUUAGGGACAACCAAUGGACAACAUACAUAAGUGGACCUAAUCAAAAACGAAUAUUAUAUGGUUUAAUCUACUAAUUUUACAUUAAAAAAAAAUCUAUGACAGACGUACGGACAGUGGAAUAUAAUGGAAUAUUAGGGUUCCUUUGGAGGUACGGAACCCUAAAAUGUACGUGCUACACUUUAAUGUCAAAGGAUGAUAUAAAUAGGACUAUUUUUAUUGGUAGUUAAAUGAGGAGAGGAGAUCAUCAAAUUUACAAAAUUGUAUCAAAAUCUGACGAAUAAAAAUCGAUAACAAGAUAAAACAUUGCCCAAUAAGUAAAGGAUUACCCAAUGCCUUAACAAACCUUAUUUAUUAAGGAUAUUAAAAUUAAUAAUAUGAAAACCCCAUCGAUGUCUCUAUCUCAUGCCAAGCUAGUUUGUAAAGGAAAUUUUGAGCACGCUUUUUGGAAUACUGUAUCAAAAUUGGUCUAUGUCGGAUGAACCAUACCCGUUAAAAAAUUUCACAAAUUCACGAAGUAGCUUUUAAGCUGUUAUUAAAUCUUGUUUUAGUUUUCUUUUUUUAAGGAUUUGAUUACACAAUGUGUAGAGUUUAAUAGUACAGUCCUAGACAUAGACCUAAUUAUAAUUAAUCUAUCAAGCUAUGAUACAUAAAUAAAUAUACAAGACAUCAUACUUUAUUACUAGACCAAUGAUUUGCUAUUUCGGAAUUCUGCUAAAAUACUUUUAUCGCAGUAAAUCUAAUUGAAUACCAAUGUAUUCUUUCCAUAAAACUCAAGUUCCACAAAGCUCAACUGCAAAUUAUUUUAUCGUUAAAUAAUCUAUAACCAUAGUCACAAAGGAAUUUCUGGCAUCCCGUGAUAGAAACAGUAUUUCCUUAAUAGCAGAGGCCAUAGAGUAAAAAAACUAACGACAUUUUUUUGUAUGAUUUUUUUGUAUGACGAUUUCGUGUAUAUAGUUAUAUAUCAUAGCUAUAUUAAAUAAUAGUCACAUCCGUAACGCAAUAGUUUAAAUUCGUUAGUAAAUACAGUACCCUCCGGGGUAAAACAGUCUUACCUAUGUAUUCUAACAUUUCUAACCAGUAUAUAAACCAAUGUAAAAUUUAAUAUAUUUAUGUAUCCAAUAUGAUCUAGCCAUUUCCAAUUUAUUUUUGAAUGGCUAUAAAAAUCUAUAUAAAUAAAUGCACUGUGUGAUAUAAGAAAAACCUAUUCACGUAAUACAUAUUGGCUGUAUUGCUAUCUUGCAUCUCGUUCUUUGUUUGGUCAUUAGAGAAAGACAGAACUUAGUCACUAGUUACCAAUACAACAAAUAUGAGCAAAGAAAAAAGUUAAACAGAGAGCGAAAUAUGUGAGAUCUCAAUUAUGUCCAAUUAUUAAAAUAUUUUGCUCGUUUAAAAUUAUUAUUAAUAUAAUUUGCUCGUAAAUUUUG